This 72-nucleotide transfer RNA is filed under the name Albimonas pacifica. It matches the Rfam family "tRNA". From Rfam's summary of the family: Transfer RNA (tRNA) molecules are approximately 80 nucleotides in length. Their secondary structure includes four short double-helical elements and three loops (D, anti-codon, and T loops). Lineage: Bacteria; Pseudomonadati; Pseudomonadota; Alphaproteobacteria; Rhodobacterales; Paracoccaceae. RNAcentral also lists the same sequence under 3 other names. The record is from Rfam by way of RNAcentral.
UGGGGCGUCGCCAAGUGGUAAGGCAGCGGUUUUUGGUACCGCCAUUCGCAGGUUCGAAUCCUGCCGCCCCAG